Molecule: ribosomal RNA, 1475 nt
Filed under: Candidatus Pelagibacter sp.
Lineage: Bacteria; Pseudomonadati; Pseudomonadota; Alphaproteobacteria; Candidatus Pelagibacterales; Candidatus Pelagibacteraceae
Description: bacterial SSU rRNA
Rfam family: Bacterial small subunit ribosomal RNA
Source: RNAcentral
AAACUUGAGAGUUUGAUCAUGGCUCAGAACGUACGCUGGCGGCACGCCUAACACAUGCAAGUCGAACGAAGUAGCAAUACUUAGUGGCAGACGGGUGAGUAACAUGUAGGUAUCUGCCCUUUGGCCUGGAAUAACACGAGGAAACUUGUGCUAAUACCGGAUAAGUCUUUACGGAGAAAGCUUUAUGCACCAUUGGAUGAGCCUGCACUUGAUUAGUUUGUUGGUGGGGUAAUGGCCUACCAAGACUGUGAUCAAUAGCUGAUUUGAGAGGAUGAUCAGCCACAUUGGGACUGAGACACGGCCCAAACUCCUACGGGAGGCAGCAGUGGGGAAUCUUGCACAAUGGAGGAAACUCUGAUGCAGCGAUGCCGCGUGAGUGAAGAAGGCCUUUGGGUUGUAAAGCUCUUUCGUCGGGGAAGAAAAUGACUGUACCCGAAUAAGAAGGUCCGGCUAACUUCGUGCCAGCAGCCGCGGUAAUACGAAGGGACCUAGCGUAGUUCGGAAUUACUGGGCUUAAAGAGUUCGUAGGUGGUUGAAAAAGUUAGUGGUGAAAUCCCAGAGCUUAACUCUGGAACUGCCAUUAAAACUUUUCAGCUAGAGUAUGAUAGAGGAAAGCAGAAUUUCUAGUGUAGAGGUGAAAUUCGUAGAUAUUAGAAAGAAUACCAAUUGCGAAGGCAGCUUUCUGGAUCAUUACUGACACUGAGGAACGAAAGCAUGGGUAGCGAAGAGGAUUAGAUACCCUCGUAGUCCAUGCCGUAAACGAUGUGUGUUAGACGUUGGAAAUUUAUUUUCAGUGUCGCAGGGAAACCGAUAAACACACCGCCUGGGGAGUACGACCGCAAGGUUAAAACUCAAAUGAAUUGACGGGGACCCGCACAAGUAGUGGAGCAUGUGGUUUAAUUCGAAGAUACGCGCAGAACCUUACCAACACUUGACAUGUUCGUCGCGACUCUAAGAGAUUAGAGUCUUCGGUUCGGCCGGACGAAACACAGGUGCUGCAUGGCUGUCGUCAGCUCGUGUCGUGAGAUGUUGGGUUAAGUCCCGCAACGAGCGCAACCCUCACUUUUAGUUGCCAUCAUUAAGUUGGGCACUCUGAAAGAACUGCCAGUGAUAAGCUGGAGGAAGGUGGGGAUGACGUCAAGUCCUCAUGGCCCUUACGUGUUGGGCUACACACGUGCUACAAUGGUAUCUACAACAGGAAGCGAAACUGCGAGGUUGAGCAAAUCCCUAAAAGAUACCUCAGUUCGGAUUGCACUCUGCAACUCGAGUGCAUGAAGCUGGAAUUACUAGUAAUCGUGGAUCAGCGUGCCACGGUGAAUGCGUUCCCGGGUCUUGUACACACCGCCCGUCACACCAUGGGAGUUGGUUCUACCUUAAGGCAAGGUUUAAAACCCUUGACCACGGUAUAGUCAGCGACUGGGGUGAAGUCGUAACAAGGUAGCCGUAGGGGAACCUGCGGCUGGAUUACCUCCUUU